AUACUUACCUGGCAGGGGAGAUACCAUGAUCACGAAGGUGGUUUUCCCAGGGCGAGGCUUAUCCAUUGCACUCUGGAUGUGCUGACCCCUGCGAUUUCCCCAAAUAUGCGAAACUCAACUGCAUAAUUUGUGGUACUGGGGGACUGCGUUUGCGCUCUCCCCUA
Molecule: small nuclear RNA, 164 nt
Filed under: Echinops telfairi (small Madagascar hedgehog)
Lineage: Eukaryota; Metazoa; Chordata; Mammalia; Afrosoricida; Tenrecidae
Description: U1 spliceosomal RNA (ENSETEG00000022200.1)
Rfam family: U1 spliceosomal RNA
About the family: U1 is a small nuclear RNA (snRNA) component of the spliceosome (involved in pre-mRNA splicing). Its 5' end forms complementary base pairs with the 5' splice junction, thus defining the 5' donor site of an intron.
Source: RNAcentral